AGUGAACGCUGGCGGUAUGCCUAACACAUGCAAGUCGAACGGCAACACAGUAAGAGUGUUCUCUUGCGGUUGGCGACUGGCGGACGAGUAACGCAUACAUCGCAUUCUUCUUUUUCUUGGAUAACAUCUAGGGACACGUACGCAUACACCGCAAUUUAUCUACCGGUGAAGUUCAAUGGUCAUAGGACCUUUUGCUAUUGCAUAUGGCUAUGUCCGAUUAGCUAGUUGGCGGGGUAAAGGCCUACCAAGGCCACGAUCCGUAGCUGGUCUGAGAGGAUGAUCAGCCACACUGGAACUGAGACACGGUCCAGACUCCUACGGGAGGCAGCAGUGGGGAAUAUUGGGCAAUGGGCGAAAGCCUGAUGCAGCAAUGCCGCGUGGGUGAAGAAGGCCUUCGGGUUGUAAAGCCCUGUUAUUGGGAAAGAAAAAAAGCAGGUUAAUACACCGAUGUUUUGACGGUACCCAAAGAAUAAGCAACGGCUAACUUCGUG
RNAcentral lists this ribosomal RNA (491 nucleotides) under uncultured bacterium. RNAcentral describes it as "partial 16S ribosomal RNA". It matches the Rfam family "Bacterial small subunit ribosomal RNA", at positions 29 to 507 of the family's 1533-position model. The record is from RNAcentral.